GGAUAGUUCCUGUGUGAUUUUUGAAUUACAUUCCUAUGCCCUUGUAAGGCAUAUUGCUGUGUCUUGGCUGCUGCAGUAUUUUGGGGAAGUAUUUAAGAUGUUCUUUACUUUGUAUAACCAAUAAUGCUUAGGACAGAAUGGGCUGAGCAGAUUUGGCAGCUCUGACCUGUAAAUGUGAGUCUAUCAAAUAAUGUGAUAAUGAAAUGCGUGUGGAAAGAUAAAUGGGGAUACUUUAAUAGGGCUUCUGUGCCUGCUGACAUUUGCAAUUCUCUGCUAUGAGAAUUAGAUUUAUGAGAUACACAAAAUCGUCAAGACCUCAGAGAAAUUAAAGUGCUAUCACCUUUGUGUAAGUUGCUCAGCUCUUAAACUCUUCUGUGAUAUAAAAAACAUAAAGGGGGAUAGUGAUUUUUUUUAAUAUAAUCAUGCUCUUAAGCUCUGUGUGAUGUACAAGUCUGUUUAAAUUAAUAAUAAAAAUGUCAUUGGGAUAUUU
Long non-coding RNA from Acanthisitta chloris (rifleman), 490 nucleotides. RefSeq lists it as uncharacterized. The record is from RefSeq and is a predicted model, not a curated record. The transcript is spliced from 2 exons. NCBI's taxonomy places the organism in Eukaryota, Metazoa, Chordata, Aves, Passeriformes, Acanthisittidae.